ACUCUCUCACUCAGUCAAGCUCAGCUCUUUGACUGUGCACGCCCACUUCCAUUGGGGAUUCGGGCUGAAUCCCACCCCGCCAGUUUAGGCGGCCGAGCUACGUAGAAUUGCGAUGAAGAGCAGCGGACCGUUCAUCGGUUGUUCGUUUCUUACGACCAGAGAGAAAAGAUACAUCUAGACCGCACAAAUACCCCUUCUCAAACAUAUAGAGCCGAUGCAGCAGUGUAGGAUCGUCACUCAGAGAGGGGAACGGUCUAUCGGGGCACCAGUCGCGUCAGAUUGAUGGAAAUGUUUAUGUCCGGAGAGUCAAAGUGGGAAGAGCAUGAAUAAGUUGGAUGAAUCCUUUGUCGACGGCGACUCGGGCUAUCAACAACUCUAAUGGGCUUCGUCCAGAGAGCGUAUUGCAAAGUGAUUCAGUGGGUCAGCUAAUCAUUAACCGCUGUGGAAGGAAAUGACUAAUUGAUAAACCCUAGAAUUGCCACUUCGCCUUUGAAAGCCUGCCUAUUUCUUCCUGAAUUCUAAUUCAAGAUUGCUCCGUCCAGUUGCCUGGAGAUACUGUGCUACUCCAGAAGAUAAUAGACCUCUAUGAGCAGUUCUCAUCCUUUUAUCAACUUUGUUUUUGAUGUAUGAACGAAGGAGACAGGUGUGUGUUAUAUAAACUGGCAUCUACAUUAAGAUGAACAAUGUUCUAAAGACUGCAGAAACUCUAGAAAACCUGUAAACAAGCUCUACAUGUAGUAUUGGUAACACUCUUGGAUGCCAACAGCUUUCCUGAAGGCAACUUUGAUAUUCCAAGUGCCAAGGAGCUGGGAGAACUCAGUCACUUCAACAGAACUAACAAGGUUUAUUUAUUAAAACAAAGCUGACCAAUAAAGUCUGCAAGUUUAAUACCAGAACUGUAGCGAUUUGUCACCCACUUGUUGAAUCAUACUCUGGUUUUGACACAUAUUUUAACUUUCAAAGUUUUCAAAUAACACUACUAGUUAAUUCCACCAAGAUUCCUCAACCUACAUCGUGAACCUGCAUAAUCCAAGCAACGUCUUGAAGUUUUACAGAAAUCUGACGAAAGGUGACCCAUGGAUAGCAUAUUUCAAAGUAUUUCUUAAAUCAUAUUGUGCUUGGAUUGUGUGUAAAAACUGCAAAAGACAUUUCGACAAGACUGAUAACAUCAGAUCUUCCACCUACUUGACUAACAAGAUUUAAACGUCCACCAGGAUAUCUCAACUUAGGCAUACUCUUGCAUCAUCCUGUCAAAAGACAGUGUGAACGGACUCGGUAGAACUCUAUAGAGUCUGGUGUUCCUCAUCAGUGGCCACCCUUCGGAUGCAAGAUGGAUGUAGAGAGCGUUGAAGUGGAUCACUUUGAAGAGGGCACAUCAAAGCUCGGCUUUCCAACUUGUCAAAUAAAGUUCAGCCUAAGGUUUAUGAUGCAACUUUUAUAGCAUAAUAAUGUGUGUUUAAAGAAAUAAAUAGAUUAUAUUUGGAAUAUACAAGUCCGUCCUUGGGGUAUUUUCUUCAGAUGUUCAUGGAGCAUUUGGUAUUAUAGGUUGUCAUUCCAUGCAACCUUGGAUAUAUGGAUUUGUUAGAUUUCUUAAUUUUGUAAAUGGGACAAAAUGGAUAUGAAUUGCCUCAACGUGAAGAAAUUGAAGACCUAUCCGGAAACGAAAAGCGAACCAGGAGGUAUGUGAGGAUUAUUUUGAUCAGGCUACAUUGGCUGAAAGGGAGACUAAAUUCCUGUUUUACACAAAAAUACAUGUACUAGCUAUUUGAAAUUGGGUGUUCAAGUUUGAGCAAGGUAUUACUAGUAUGUGAUUGAUUAUUGUACCGCACAGUUGGGAUAGAAAUAAUAUAUUUUAAGUAGAUGACUUCGUAAAAUCCUGAUAAAAAUAUAUAUAUUUGAAAUCAUGGUGCCUUCUCACUCUUUACAAUUACAUUUAUUUUGCAAAAAUGUUGACAAUUUAUUAUAAUUUUUGACAACUUUUAUGUUGGGUAGAAUUACAAGUUACAAUUUUCUUUUUUGUGAUCCCCCCGCGUAAAAAAAGACAGGAAGAAAAUAAGCAAAUAGAGUAACAAAUAAAAAUUUCAAUAAAAAUGAAGAUUAUUUACAGAUGUAUAUUAUUCAUAAAAAUCACAGAUGAUUUUUUACAUUGAAUUCAGAUUUCAAAUGUACUUCGAAGCUUAAAUCUCAGCAAUGAAAUGAUAUACUUGGCGCAUCUUUGUUUCCAGAAAGAAACAUGCUUUAAUACAAUUUGGUACAAAUAUACAAGGUAUUUUAUUGCUUAUCAGUAUAGUAUCACUUUUAUCGUCUCCAGAUUUCAAAAAGAUGCACUCCCUUUGGCAUGAUACUUUGAGCGUAUAAUAUUUACUGGAUUUUGAUAAAUCAAAGAUAUGUUGCAUGGUUCAUUCUUGUUUACUGUUAUAAUACAAUAAGAAUAUUGUUAUAAUUGAUAUACAGUGUACUGUAGCUCAAUGUUGGGAGUUUUUUUUAAUAUAAUAGUAUAGUAUCACUUUAUCAUCUUCAGAUUUCAAAAAGAUGCACUCCCUUUGGUAUGAUACUUUGAGCGUAUAUUUACGGGAUUUUAAUAAUCAAAGAUAUGUUGCAUGGUUCAUUGUUGUUUACUAUUUCAAUAUUAUUAUAAUAAUACAGUUUACUGUAGCUGAAUGUUAGACUUUUUAAAACUACCCAGGAGAGCCAGAUGGUUUAACUUUAUUCACAUUGAUACUCCUGGAUAGCUAUCUCAAUCAAUGAAUUAAAAAAUAUUUACAAAUCAUUCAUUCCUGCAAUUUUACAGGAAACAUCCUUCCUAUUUAUCACUUGGCGACUAUAACUUUUGAUGUUUAUAAAGGCUACCGCACACCUAACGAUUUCUCUGCGACCCGAUUUUGUUGGAAUAAAACAUAGAUGAAUUUGAUGCUAUUG
Lytechinus pictus (painted urchin) is the source of this 2919-nucleotide long non-coding RNA. RefSeq lists it as uncharacterized. The record is from RefSeq and is a predicted model, not a curated record. NCBI's taxonomy places the organism in Eukaryota, Metazoa, Echinodermata, Echinoidea, Temnopleuroida, Toxopneustidae. The transcript is spliced from 4 exons.